RNAcentral lists this ribosomal RNA (344 nucleotides) under Escherichia coli. Its description in RNAcentral is "bacterial SSU rRNA". It matches the Rfam family "Bacterial small subunit ribosomal RNA", at positions 1 to 341 of the family's 1533-position model. Lineage: Bacteria; Pseudomonadati; Pseudomonadota; Gammaproteobacteria; Enterobacterales; Enterobacteriaceae. The record is from RNAcentral.
AAAUUGAAGAGUUUGAUCAUGGCUCAGAUUGAACGCUGGCGGCAGGCCUAACACAUGCAAGUCGAACGGUAACAGGAAGCAGCUUGCUGCUUCGCUGACGAGUGGCGGACGGGUGAGUAAUGUCUGGGAAACUGCCUGAUGGAGGGGGAUAACUACUGGAAACGGUAGCUAAUACCGCAUAAUGUCGCAAGACCAAAGAGGGGGACCUUCGGGCCUCUUGCCAUCGGAUGUGCCCAGAUGGGAUUAGCUUGUUGGUGGGGUAACGGCUCACCAAGGCGACGAUCCCUAGCUGGUCUGAGAGGAUGACCAGCCACACUGGAACUGAGACACGGUCCAGACUCCUA